GAUUGGCCUCACGGCCGUUUUCGAACCACACACACACACCGUGAACCGUUCCCUCGCCUCUCGGGGCUUGGGACUACCAAACACACAAUGUCCAAAGAACGUAAAACAUCGUAAACAAACAAAACUUUCAACAACGGAUCUCUUGGCUCU
Molecule: unclassified non-coding RNA, 150 nt
Filed under: rhizosphere metagenome
Description: partial ribosomal RNA internal transcribed spacer region
Source: RNAcentral